Molecule: ribosomal RNA, 558 nt
Filed under: Aureobasidium sp.
Lineage: Eukaryota; Fungi; Ascomycota; Dothideomycetes; Dothideales; Saccotheciaceae
Description: eukaryotic LSU rRNA
Rfam family: 5.8S ribosomal RNA (bases 202-355)
Source: RNAcentral
UGCGGAAGGAUCAUUAAAGAGUAAGGGGUGCUCAGGCGCCCGACCUCCAACCCCCUUUGUUGUUAAAACUACCCUUGUUGCUUUGGCGGGACCGCUCGGUCUCGAGCCGCUGGGGAUUCGUCCCAGGCGAGCGCCCGCCAGAGUUAAACCAAACUCUUGUUAUUAAACCGGUCGUCUGAGUUAAAAUUUUGAAUAAAUCAAAACUUUCAACAACGGAUCUCUUGGUUCUCGCAUCGAUGAAGAACGCAGCGAAAUGCGAUAAGUAAUGUGAAUUGCAGAAUUCAGUGAAUCAUCGAAUCUUUGAACGCACAUUGCGCCCCUUGGUAUUCCGAGGGGCAUGCCUGUUCGAGCGUCAUUACACCACUCAAGCUAUGCUUGGUAUUGGGUGCCGUCCUUAGUUGGGCGCGCCUUAAAGACCUCGGCGAGGCCUCACCGGCUUUAGGCGUAGUAGAAUUUAUUCGAACGUCUGUCAAAGGAGAGGACUUCUGCCGACUGAAACCUUUUAUUUUUCUAGGUUGACCUCGGAUCAGGUAGGGAUACCCGCUGAACUUAAGCAUA